CUCCCGGUCGCUCUAUACAGGGCUAAACGUGCUACAUUGGACGGCACAAAGAGCUGCAAGACCGCGAGUUGUAGCUAAUCUCAUAAAACCGUUCUCAGUUCGGAUUGUAGGCUGCAACUCGCCUACAUGAAGCUGGAAUCGCUAGUAAUCGCGGAUCAGCAUGCCGCGGUGAAUACGUUCCCGGGCCUUGUACACACCGCCCGUCACACCACGAGAGGUUGUAACACCCGAAGUCGGUGGGCUAACCUUUUUGGAGCCAGCCGCCUAAGGAGAUACCGAUGAUUGGGGCGAAGUCGGAACAGGAUAGCAGUAACGGAAGGCCGUGUUGGAUCUCCUCCU
RNAcentral lists this ribosomal RNA (339 nucleotides) under Bacillus cereus. Its description in RNAcentral is "bacterial SSU rRNA". It matches the Rfam family "Bacterial small subunit ribosomal RNA", at positions 1192 to 1531 of the family's 1533-position model. The record is from RNAcentral. Lineage: Bacteria; Bacillati; Bacillota; Bacilli; Caryophanales; Bacillaceae.